UACGUAGGGUGCAAGCGUUGUCCGGAAUUAUUGGGCGUAAAGAGCUCGUAGGCGGUCUGUCGCGUCUGCUGUGAAAACUCGGGGCUUAACCCCGGGCCUGCAGUGGGUACGGGCAGACUAGAGUGCGGUAGGGGAGAGUGGAAUUCCUGGUGUAGCGGUGAAAUGCGCAGAUAUCAGGAGGAACACCGGUGGCGAAGGCGGGUCUCUGGGCCGUAACUGACGCUGAGGAGCGAAAGCGUGGGGAGCGAACAGG
RNAcentral lists this ribosomal RNA (253 nucleotides) under uncultured bacterium. RNAcentral's name for it is "partial 16S ribosomal RNA". It matches the Rfam family "Bacterial small subunit ribosomal RNA", at positions 524 to 776 of the family's 1533-position model. The record is from RNAcentral.